RNAcentral lists this ribosomal RNA (890 nucleotides) under Calloria urticae. RNAcentral describes it as "partial large subunit ribosomal RNA". It matches the Rfam family "Eukaryotic large subunit ribosomal RNA", at positions 39 to 946 of the family's 3401-position model. Lineage: Eukaryota; Fungi; Ascomycota; Leotiomycetes; Helotiales; Calloriaceae. The record is from RNAcentral.
UACAUUCAAUAAGCGGAGGAAAAGAAACCAACAGGGAUUGCCUCAGUAACGGCGAGUGAAGCGGCAAAAGCUCAAAUUUGAAAUCUGGCCCUUUCAGGGUCCGAGUUGUAAUUUGUAGAAGACGCUUUGGGUGUGGCUCCGGUUUAAGUUCUUUGGAAUAUUACAUCAUAGAGGGUGAGAAUCCCGUAUGUGACCGGUCGCCGCGCCCGUGUAAAGCUCUUUCAACGAGUCGAGUUGUUUGGGAAUGCAGCUCAAAAUGGGAGGUAUAUUUCUUCUAAAGCUAAAUAUUGGCCAGAGACCGAUAGCGCACAAGUAGAGUGAUCGAAAGAUGAAAAGCACUUUGGAAAGAGAGUUAAACAGUACGUGAAAUUGUUGAAAGGGAAGCGCUUGCAACCAGACUUGCACGCAGUUGAUCAUCCGGUGUUCUCACCGGGGCACUCUGCUGCGUUCAGGCCAGCAUCGGUUCUGGUGGUUGGAUAAAGACCUUGGGAAUGUGGCUUCUUUCGGGGAGUGUUAUAGCCCUCGGUGCAAUGCAGCCUACCGGGACCGAGGACCGCGCUUCGGCUAGGAUGCUGGCGUAAUGGUUGUAAGCGGCCCGUCUUGAAACACGGACCAAGGAGUCUAACAUCUAUGCGAGUGUUUGGGUGUCAAACCCAUACGCGUAAUGAAAGUGAACGGAGGUGAGAACCCUUAAGGGUGCAUCAUCGACCGGUCCUGAUGUCUUCGGAUGGAUCUGAGUAAGAGCAUAGCUGUUGGGACCCGAAAGAUGGUGAACUAUGCGUGAAUAGGGUGAAGCCAGAGGAAACUCUGGUGGAGGCUCGCAGCGGUUCUGACGUGCAAAUCGAUCGUCAAAUUUGCGCAUAGGGGCGAAAGACUUAUCGAACCAUCCG